RNAcentral lists this ribosomal RNA (433 nucleotides) under uncultured bacterium. RNAcentral's name for it is "partial 16S ribosomal RNA". It matches the Rfam family "Bacterial small subunit ribosomal RNA", at positions 29 to 507 of the family's 1533-position model. The record is from RNAcentral.
AACGAACGCUGGCGGCAUGCCUAACACAUGCAAGUCGAACGAGACCUUCGGGUCUAGUGGCGCAUGGGUGCGUAACGCGUGGGAACCUGCCCUUAGGUUCGGAAUAACUCUCCGAAAGGGGUGCUAACAUCGGAUAAUGUCCUCGGACCAAAGAUUUAUCGCAUUUGGAUGGGCCCGCGUUGGAUUAGCUUGUUGGUAGGGUAUAAGCCUACCAAGGCGACGAUCCAUAGCUGGUCUGAGAGGAUGAUCAGCCACACUGGGACUGAGACACGGCCCAGACUCCUGCGGGAGGCAGCAAUGGGUGAUAUUGGACAAUAGGCGAAAGCCUGAUCCAGCAAUGCCGCGUGAGAGAUGAAGGCCUUAGGGUUAUAAAGCUCUUUUACCCGGGAUGAUAAUGACAGUACCGAGAGAAUAAGCUCCGGCUAACUCCGUG